Molecule: ribosomal RNA, 839 nt
Filed under: uncultured bacterium
Lineage: Bacteria
Description: bacterial SSU rRNA
Rfam family: Bacterial small subunit ribosomal RNA
Source: RNAcentral
UAAGUCGAACGGGGUAGCAAUACCUAGUGGCGAACGGCGGAGUAAUACGUGAACAACGUGCCUUGAAGACUGGGAUAGCCAGGGGAAACCCUGAGUAAUACCGGAUGUGGCAACGAGAUGGCAUCUUCUCGUUACUAAAUGGUUUUUCGCUUCAAGAGCGGUUCACGACCUAUCAGCUAGUUGGUGAGGUAAUGGCCCACCAAGGCGACGACGGGUAGGGGGUCUGAGAGGAUGAUCCCCCCGAGUGGGACUGAGACACGGCCCACACACCUACGGGUGGCAGCAGUUGGGAAUCUUGCACAAUGGGGGAAACCCUGAUGCAGCGACGCCGCGUGGAGGACGAAGGGUCUAGGCUCGUAAACUCCUUUUUUUGGGAAAGACUUAGGACGGUACCCAAAGAAUAAGCACCGGCUAACUACGUGCCAGCAGCCGCGGUAAGACGUAGGGUGCAAGCGUUGUCCGGAUUUACUGGGCGUAAAGAGCGCGUAGGCGGUCCGUUAAGUGUGAAGCUAAAUCUCUUGGCUCAACCAAGAAACUAUUUCGCAUACUGACGGGCUGGAGUGAUGCAGAGGUGGAUAGAAUUCCCGGUGUAGCGGUGAAAUGCGUUGAUAUCGGGAGGAAUACCCGUGGCGAAGGCGGUCCACUGGGCAUCAACUGACGCUGAGGCGCGAAAGCGUGGGUAGCAAACAGGAUUAGAUACCCUGGUAGUCCACGCCCUAAACGAUGGAUGCUAGGCGUAGGAGGUAUCGACCCCCUCCUGUGCCGCAGCUAACGCACUAAGCAUCCCGCCUGGGGACUACGGCCGCAAGGUUGAAACUCAAAUGAAUUGACGGGGACCC